Molecule: ribosomal RNA, 433 nt
Filed under: uncultured bacterium
Lineage: Bacteria
Description: partial 16S ribosomal RNA
Rfam family: Bacterial small subunit ribosomal RNA
Source: RNAcentral
AACGAACGCUGGCGGCAUGCCUAACACAUGCAAGUCGAACGAGACCUUCGGGUCUAGUGGCGCACGGGUGCGUAACGCGUGGGAACCUGCCCUUAGGUUCGGAAUGACUCUCCGAAAGGGGUGCUAAUACCGGACCAUGUCUUCGGCCCAAAGAUUUAUCGCCUUUGGAUGGGCCCGCGUUGGAUUAGCUAGUUGGUAGGGUAAAAGCCUACCAAGGCGACGAUCCAUAGCUGGGUUGAGAGGAUGAUCAGCCACACUGGGACUGAGACACGGCCCAGACUCCUACGGGAGGCAGCAGUGGGGAAUAGUGGACAAUGGGCGAAAGCCUGAUCCAGCAAUGCCGCGUAAGUGAUGAAGGCCGUAGGGUUGUAAAGCUCUUUUACCCGGGAUGAUAAUGACAGUACCGGGAGAAUAAGCUCCGGCUAACUCCGUG